RNAcentral lists this unclassified non-coding RNA (305 nucleotides) under Hevea brasiliensis (rubber tree). The record is from RNAcentral. Lineage: Eukaryota; Viridiplantae; Streptophyta; Magnoliopsida; Malpighiales; Euphorbiaceae.
CGGGGUGACAUAAAUUGGGGGCAGAGCCAGCGGCAGCUCUGCUUGUCCUUCCAUCCGAGAUGGGACACUGAUGAUAACUUCAUCAGAAUAUAUGCACGAUAUCAUACGCGAAUGUCCAGAAUAGCACAAAUGACAUAAGCCCACCAAAAAAGCCAUCAAAUAUAAUCCGGUUCCAACAGUCAAAGUACGAGUGAACAGAAAACUUGGCCUUCGCUAUGAGUCCAACUGAAGAGAUUGCCAUGAUAAGGAAAUAAAGGAUAAAUCCAGCCAAACCCUUGAAUCCCAAAAUUCCAGCAAUCACCCCA